RNAcentral lists this ribosomal RNA (253 nucleotides) under uncultured bacterium. RNAcentral's name for it is "partial 16S ribosomal RNA". It matches the Rfam family "Bacterial small subunit ribosomal RNA", at positions 524 to 776 of the family's 1533-position model. The record is from RNAcentral.
UACAGAGGGGGCAAGCGUUAUUCGGAAUUAUUGGGCGUAAAGGGCGCGUAGGCGGCUUGGCAAGUGGAAGGUGAAAUCCCUCGGCUUAACCGAGGAACUGCCCUCCAAACUGCUUUGCUUGAGGCCGGGAGAGGCGAGUGGAAUUCCCAGUGUAGCGGUGAAAUGCGUAGAUAUUGGGAGGAACACCAGUGGCGAAGGCGGCUCGCUGGACCGGUUCUGACGCUGAGGCGCGAAAGCUAGGGGAGCAAACGGG